UUGCCUGCGCAUGCUACACAUGCAGUCGAACGAAGGCUUCGGCCUUAGUGGCGCACGGGUGAGUAACACGUGGGAACCUGCCUUUCGGUUCGGAAUAACGUCUGGAAACGGACGCUAACACCGGAUACGUCCUUCGGGGGAAAGUUUACGCCGAGAGAGGGGCCCGCGUCGGAUUAGGUAGUUGGUGUGGUAACGGCGCACCAAGCCGACGAUCCGUAGCUGGUCUGAGAGGAUGAUCAGCCACACUGGGACUGAGACACGGCCCAGACUCCUACGGGAGGCAGCAGUGGGGAAUAUUGGACAAUGGGCGCAAGCCUGAUCCAGCAAUGCCGCGUGAGUGAUGAAGGCCUUAGGGUUGUAAAGCUCUUUCGCACGCGACGAUGAUGACGGUAGCGUGAGAAGAAGCCCCGGCUAACUUCGUGCCAGCAGCCGCGGUAAUACGAAGGGGGCUAGCGUUGUUCGGAAUUACUGGGCGUAAAGGGCGCGUAGGCGGCCUGUUUAGUCAGAAGUGAAAGCCCCGGGCUCAACCUGGGAAUAGCUUUUGAUACUGGCAGGCUUGA
Molecule: ribosomal RNA, 560 nt
Filed under: Azospirillum ramasamyi
Lineage: Bacteria; Pseudomonadati; Pseudomonadota; Alphaproteobacteria; Rhodospirillales; Azospirillaceae
Description: bacterial SSU rRNA
Rfam family: Bacterial small subunit ribosomal RNA
Source: RNAcentral